GAUGAAGAACGCAGUGAAAUGCGAUAAGUAAUGAGAAUUGCAGAAUUCAGUGAAUCAUCGAAUCUUUGAACGCACAUUGCGCCCGUCGGUAUUCUGGCGGGCAUGCCUGUUCGAGCGUCAUUACGCCCCUCAAGUCCCCUGUGGACUUGGUGUUGGGGAUCGGCGAGGCUGGUUUUCCAGCACAGCCGUCCCUUAAAUUAAUUGGCGGUCUCGCCGUGGCCCUCCUCUGCGCAGUAGUAAAACACUCGCAACAGGAGCCCGGCGCGGUCCACUGCCGUAAAACCCCCCAACUUUUUAUAGUUGACCUCGAAUCAGGUAGGACUACCCGCUGAACUUAAGCAUAUCAAUAAGCGGAGGA
This 358-nucleotide unclassified non-coding RNA is filed under the name soil metagenome. RNAcentral's name for it is "partial contains 5.8S ribosomal RNA, internal transcribed spacer 2, and large subunit ribosomal RNA". The stretch from base 1 to 120 matches the Rfam family "5.8S ribosomal RNA", at positions 35 to 154 of the family's 154-position model. The record is from RNAcentral.